AUUGAACGCUGGCGGAAUGCUUUACACAUGCAAGUCGAACGGUAGAGGGGGCAACCCCUUGAGAGUGGCGAACGGGUGAGUAAUAUAUCGGAACGUGCCCAGUCGUGGGGAUAACGUAGCGGAAGUUACGCUAAUACCGCAUACGAUCUAAGGAUGAAAGCGGGGGAUCGCAAGACCUCGCGCGAUUGGAGCGGCCGAUAUCAGAUUAGGUAGUUGGUGAGGUAAAGGCUCACCAAGCCAACGAUCUGUAGGGGUCCUGAGAGGGAGAUCCCCCACACUGGUCGUCCUCU
RNAcentral lists this ribosomal RNA (290 nucleotides) under uncultured bacterium. RNAcentral describes it as "partial 16S ribosomal RNA". It matches the Rfam family "Bacterial small subunit ribosomal RNA", at positions 30 to 325 of the family's 1533-position model. The record is from RNAcentral.